Molecule: unclassified non-coding RNA, 384 nt
Filed under: soil metagenome
Description: partial contains 5.8S ribosomal RNA, internal transcribed spacer 2, and large subunit ribosomal RNA
Rfam family: 5.8S ribosomal RNA (bases 1-120)
Source: RNAcentral
GAUGAAGAACGUAGCGAAGUGCGAUAAGUAAUGUGAAUUGCAGAAUUCCGUGAAUCAUCGAAUCUUUGAACGCAAAUUGCACUUUCUGGUAUUCCGGAGAGUAUGCCUGUUUGAGGGUCAGUGUAAUAAAAAUAAAUCGUGGUUGUUUGCCACCUUUUCGUGGUGACGCUUCGGAAUUGAGUCGUCUUUACCCCUUCGGGUUAAGUGACUUAAAAUUUUUUCAUACGAUUUCGAAACGUAUUUAAUGCAUUAACGUACGUUCACGAAUAUCGAAUGUUUUAUUAGGUGCGGUCAUUUUCAUGAAUUCGCGUCUAUAUUUUUUUUUUUUGACCUCAAAUCAGGUAAGAGUACCCGCUGAACUUAAGCAUAUCAAUAAGCGGAGGA